This 75-nucleotide transfer RNA is filed under the name Candidatus Aenigmatarchaeota archaeon. Its description in RNAcentral is "tRNA-Gly". It matches the Rfam family "tRNA". Rfam says of the family: Transfer RNA (tRNA) molecules are approximately 80 nucleotides in length. Their secondary structure includes four short double-helical elements and three loops (D, anti-codon, and T loops). Further hydrogen bonds mediate the characteristic L-shaped molecular structure. tRNAs have two regions of fundamental functional importance: the anti-codon, which is responsible for specific mRNA codon recognition, and the 3' end, to which the tRNAs corresponding amino acid is attached (by aminoacyl-tRNA synthetases). tRNAs cope with the degeneracy of the genetic code in two manners: having more than one tRNA (with a specific anti-codon) for a particular amino acid; and 'wobble' base-pairing, i.e. permitting non-standard base-pairing at the 3rd anti-codon position. The record is from RNAcentral. Lineage: Archaea; Nanobdellati; Candidatus Aenigmatarchaeota.
GCGCCGGUAGUCCAGCCUGGUCUAAGACACCAGCCUGCCACGCUGGGAACCUGGGUUCAAAUCCCGGCCGGCGCA